UCCCCUGUAGCUCAAUCGGUUAGAGCGCGGACUGGUGCACCAGGACGAGGCAGUUGGUUCAAAACCAACCAGGGGAA
RNAcentral lists this transfer RNA (77 nucleotides) under Rhodococcus qingshengii. RNAcentral's name for it is "tRNA-OTHER". Lineage: Bacteria; Bacillati; Actinomycetota; Actinomycetes; Mycobacteriales; Nocardiaceae. The record is from RNAcentral.